GGUUUUAAACCUCUGCUUUGUUCUUGGAGUGAUCUGCAUGAGCCAGACUCUCCUCGUUGUCCUCUUCCUCUGCAGGGACCUGGGACAACAUCAAAAGCAACAGCAAAAUCCGGUGGUAUCACCAACAAAUUAACAGAUAAGUGCACAACGUGCCAUCUGUCAUCUCCACCUACCUGUAAUAGCCCCUCCAACCAGAGCAAACCCAAGGGAUGAAGCCAAGGCGGCGGCUUGCAUGGCGGCGUUCCCGCUAAAAGCCACAGCGACUAUACCAGCCAAGCCUCCCAGGAUGCCCGGCAUGCCGUGCAGAUUGUGGACACCACAGGUAUCCUGGAUGCCCAGAUGCGAUGCCAGAAUAGGCUGCAGAGAAAAGCCACUUCAAUAUGAGUAUGCUGGAGACGGCGUAAGCAGAAAGCACGCAGGUGGCCAGGGAGAGGUAGGUGUUGAUGACCGCUGUGAGCUGGGUGAAGCCUGGUUCGGCAAUGGCUGAGUUAAAACUGGGCCAGAACAUCCAGAGGAACACGGUCCCUGUGAAGAAGAUGACUCAGUAAAUUCACAGCAAGUAGCAGAAUUUAUUAUUCGGAGGUCUGUUGGUUUUACAAACACUGGCAUCCUUGUUGAGUGUUGAAGCUGCCUAGACAAUUUGUGUCCACUAGAUGGCAUUGGAAAGUUGGAUUCAAUUGCAUACUCUCUUACCAAUCAUAGCAAACAUAUCAGAGUGGUAGACAGAUCCGUCAUUGUCGUGGCCGUUUCUCAGACCCGGCCUGUAAAGCAUCCGAGCCACGGCCAAACCAAAAUAGGCCCCGUAGGCGUGGAUGAUCAUGGAGGCCCCAACGUCGUUGGCCUGUAAAAAGAACAGACAAUUGUGUUCUAAACGUUAUUGUCAUUUUUUUCCCUUAACUAGUUGUUUGUAAUUCACAUCAGAAAUGACUUGUAAAAAGUGUUCUUUUAUCUCUAUCAAGCACUAGAACAGAUGAUAGGAUGGGUUGUGUUGUUUUGUUUUUUGCCAGAUUAUGCAAAAGUUACACAACUGAUUGGUUAAACUGAAGAUCCAGAUGCAAUUAGAAUUAAAAGCCAUUCACUUCCAUUGACUGCCUUGUUCUUGUCAGAGUGCUGCGUGCUGAUUGCAGGAAACAAAAACAAAAACUUGGUCUAUAUUUGCAAUGGUGUGGAUGUACCUUUUCUAAGUUGAAGGUAUACAAUAAAUGUUUUUCUUGGUGGUUGUGCGCAGAAUAAGUCGAGGUUGACUCACCCCCAUGAUUUCGGCCACCAGGUGCUCGUUUAUGGAGAAUAUGCUAAUCUCCAGGAUGGUCAUGAUGAGCAGCUGAACGGGGCUGGUUUUACCCAGUACUGCUCCAAAGGAGAUUAAGACGGUGGCUGUGCUGAAGUCUGCAUUGAUGAUUCUUCAAGGAGAGAUGCCAGAUACCCUGCAUGAGGAGACCCCACUGCAGGCCGAAGGCGGCCAGUAGCAAGUUGAUGCCCACGCUGCUGAAGCCGUAUCUUUUCAGGAAAGUCAUCAAGAAGCCGAAGCCGAUGAAGAUCAUGACGUGGACAUCCUGGAACACUGGGGACAUGACAGAGG
This is a long non-coding RNA of Nerophis lumbriciformis (worm pipefish), 1579 nucleotides long. RefSeq lists it as uncharacterized. Lineage: Eukaryota; Metazoa; Chordata; Actinopteri; Syngnathiformes; Syngnathidae. The record is from RefSeq and is a predicted model, not a curated record.